UACGUAGGGGGCAAGCGUUGUCCGGAUUUAUUGGGCGUAAAGAGCUCGUAGGUGGUUCGGUAAGUCGGAUGUGAAAUCUCCAGGCUCAACCUGGAGGGGUCAUUCGAUACUGCCGUGACUAGAGUUCGGUAGGGGAGUGUGGAAUUCCUGGUGGAGCGGUGAAAUGCGCAGAUAUCAGGAAGAACACCUAUGGCGAAGGCAGCUCUCUGGGACGGUACUGACGCUGAGACGCGAAAGCGUGGGGAGCGAACAGG
This 254-nucleotide ribosomal RNA is filed under the name uncultured bacterium. Its description in RNAcentral is "partial 16S ribosomal RNA". It matches the Rfam family "Bacterial small subunit ribosomal RNA", at positions 524 to 776 of the family's 1533-position model. The record is from RNAcentral.